CGAAGCUUUUCGUUUUUUAAGGAAAAAAAAACUCAUGAUUGUGCAUUCUCGAUAACUCAAUAGGAAUACUGCAUCUAUGUUUUCAUACAGAGAACAAAAACAAGGAGCAAUAAGGGGUGGUGCUUUCUUCUCCUAUCCAAGAGAAUAAUAAUGGAGAAAUAAAAGUGCUCAAACUGUGUUAACCGCGAUAUUCAGAACCUACUUACGUGCCGCUGUCAUCCGUGUUAUCCCGCAAAAUACCUCCUGUAAACUUUUCGUCUGCAUCCGAGCCCGUUUCUGAUUCAGGUUAUUAAAGGGUUUACAGCAGAAAACUUAAAUGAAGUCCCUCCAAAAAAGGAGAUGGAGAAAAAGAAGUAGAUGAAUUGUAUCUUUCAGAUGGUCGAAAAAUGAAAAUAAUGAGAGGUAAAUCAAUAUUUCAAAGAUAAAAAUGAAAAUGAUAGUUGUUCAAGUCAAAUGUUUAUAAGUCAUCAGUAGCCUAUUCAAA
This is a long non-coding RNA of Capsicum annuum, 484 nucleotides long. RefSeq lists it as uncharacterized. The transcript has 2 exons. Lineage: Eukaryota; Viridiplantae; Streptophyta; Magnoliopsida; Solanales; Solanaceae. The record is from RefSeq and is a predicted model, not a curated record.